This 434-nucleotide ribosomal RNA is filed under the name uncultured bacterium. RNAcentral's name for it is "partial 16S ribosomal RNA". It matches the Rfam family "Bacterial small subunit ribosomal RNA", at positions 27 to 507 of the family's 1533-position model. The record is from RNAcentral.
GAGCGAACGCUGGCGGCAGGCCUAACACAUGCAAGUCGAACGAACCCUUCGGAGUUAGUGGCGGACGGGUGAGUGACACGUGGGAACGUGCCUUUUGGUUCGGAAUAACUCAGGGAAACUUGUGCUAAUACCGAAUGUGCCCUUCGGGGGAAAGAUUUAUCGCCAUUAGAGCGGCCCGCGUCUGAUUAGCUAGUUGGUGAGGUAACGGCUCACCAAGGCGACGAUCAGUAGCUGGUCUGAGAGGAUGACCAGCCACACUGGGACUGAGACACGGCCCAGACUCCUACGGGAGGCAGCAGUGGGGAAUCUUGCGCAAUGGGCGAAAGCCUGACGCAGCCAUGCCGCGUGAAUGAUGAAGGUCUUAGGAUUGUAAAAUUCUUUCACCGGGGACGAUAAUGACGGUACCCGGAGAAGAAGCCCCGGCUAACUUCGUG